UCACACCGACUCUUCAACUCCCAUAUCCUAAUCGCGUCCACUCAACUCCAUCUCCUGACCAAGGCGUUCCUCCGAUGGGGACAAGCGCCUCCAAGAACUCCGACAGCUCCCAUGGCCGCCGCGACGGCCAGCUCUACGUCUCCCUUAAGAUGGAGAACUUCAACAUCAGAGGCGAUCUCAUCCCCCACGUCUACGGCUCCGCCCCCGUCACCGGUUCUUGGGACUCCGCUAAGGCCCUCUCGAUGGCCCGGGAGUCGGCGUCGACGUGGGAGCUCAGCUUCGUCGUGCCCCCCAAUCACGAGACGCUGGACUUCAAGUUCUUGCUGAAGCCGAAGUACAGCAACGUGCCAUGCGUGGUGGAGGAGGGGCCGAGCCGGUUGCUCACUGGAGGGAUGCUGCAAGAGGAGGAUGCCAGGUCGGCGCUGUUCAAGGUGGGCGGAUAUGAGGAGGUUCUUGAGUACAAGUUGUUCAUUAAGGUGGACAUAGUGUCCCCGUUCGAUCUUGCAGCUAGUUGGAGGGCAUAUCAGGAGAAUCUUGAGCCGUCGAGGGUACGAGGGAUUCCAGAUGUCAGUAUCAAUGUUGCACCCGAUAAUAUGGGUUCGGAGAAUGGGCCAGCAUCCACUUUGGAGCUUGAUUUAGAACACUAUGUUGUUCCAGCACCAUCUUCCAGCGUUGGUGUAGUUUAUGCAGCUAAUUUGACAGAGACACCAAGAUCCUUGGUUAAUACUGGAAUUUCCUCCAAGAAUGAUGCCUCAAGUGGAAGUUCAUAUGACUCGAGUAAAGCUGGUGUUUUUUCACUUGACCAUUCCAACAGCCAGAAGGAUAUGGAUUCUAUGGUCUUGGAUCCUACCAAACUUCUUCCAGCUCCUGGUAUGGUUGAAUCGAAGUCGGUUGGCACGUUUUCACCGUUGCUAAAGGAAGAUGGCCAAAAAGGACUCUUAGUUGAUAGGGGUGUGGGCUCUCCUAGACUUGUUAAAUCAGCUAGUGCAGGUGCAGUCACAUUUGAUCCCAAGUUGGGCUCUGAGACAAAGAAGGCCAUGCCAGCAGCAGCUGGAGCAGUUGCAGCCGCAGCUGUAGCUGAUCAGAUGCUUGGACCAAAGGAGGAUAGUAGGUUGGCCAUUGUGUUGGUUGGUUUGCCAGCCCGGGGAAAGACCUUCACAGCAGCCAAGCUUACUAGAUAUCUGCGUUGGUUAGGUCAUGAGACCAAACAUUUCAAUGUUGGCAAGUAUCGCCGCCUUAAGCUUGGAACAAACCAGUCUGCUGAUUUUUUUCGUGGGGACAAUCCAGAAGGUUUGGAGGCUCGCAAUGAGGUGGCUGCUUUAGCUAUGGAUGAUAUGAUAGCCUGGAUGCAAGAAGGAGGUCAGGUUGGUAUCUUUGAUGCAACAAAUAGCACCAGAAACCGAAGGAAUAUGCUCAUGAAAAUGGCUGAAGGAAAAUGUAAGAUCAUAUUUCUGGAAACAAUUUGCAAUGACAAACACAUAAUAGAAAGAAAUAUCCGCCUGAAAAUUCAACAAAGUCCUGAUUAUGCAGAAGAACUUGAUUUUGAAUCUGGAAUGCGGGACUUCAAAGAACGCUUAGCUAAUUAUGAAAAGGUAUAUGAGCCGGUAGAGGAGGGUUCUUAUGUCAAAAUGAUUGACAUGGUCAGCGGACAAGGUGGCCAGAUACAAGUUAACAACAUCAGUGGUUAUCUUCCUGGCCGAAUUGUCUUCUUCUUGGUGAAUACUCAUCUCACACCCCGGCCUAUUCUGCUUACUCGGCAUGGUGAAAGUCGAGAUAAUGUCAGAGGAAGAAUUGGAGGUGACGCAGUUUUGAGCGAAGCUGGUGAACUUUAUGCAAAGAAACUUGCAAACUUUGUUGAGAAGAGACUGAAGUCUGAGAGGACAGCUUCUAUAUGGACUAGCACACUACAAAGAACAAUACUAACUGCAAGCCCAAUUGUUGGAUUCCCAAAGAUACAAUGGCGCGCUCUUGAAGAGAUAAAUGUUGGAGUUUGUGAUGGAAUGACUUGUGAAGAAAUAAAGAAAAACAUGCCCGACGAAUAUGUAUCUCGUAAGAAGGACAAGCUUAGAUAUCGAUACCCUCGUGGGGAGUCAUACUUGGAUGUCAUUCAAAGACUGGAACCUGUAAUUAUUGAGCUCGAACGACAACGUGCACCGGUUGUUGUCAUUUCUCACCAGGCCGUGUUGAGAGCAUUGUAUGCAUAUUUUGCUGACAGACCACUAAAAGAAAUUCCGGACAUUGAGGUGCCACUUCACACAAUAAUUGAGAUACAAAUGGGGGUUACUGGUGUCCAAGAGAAAAGAUACAAACUCAUGGAUUAAUUCAUUUCCAUAAGACUGGCUGUCUGCUUGAAAGGAAGCAACUCCAAUCACUUUCUUGGUGACAUUUACCACCUAAUGAAAAAGAAGAAGAAAAAAACAGUUAAUUUCUUCAUCUUUUGUGUGCUUUGCUUUUCAAGCAACGAGACAUUGUGUAUUUCAUAGUUAUAGCAGGUAGCAUUCUUGGAGUACCAAACAGAUUUAGAAGAACACUGAAUUUGCUGAAGAGGUCUUCUGUUGAGGUGAAUCCUUUGCCCCUCUUAGAUGAGACUUAUAAUGGUAAAAGGCAUAAUCGAUCAGUUACUAUCCGAGUAUGGAGAAAUUAUAUACAGCGAUUCUAUCUAUUUUUGUUGUCUCAGAUUAAGAUUUCCUUGAACUUCCAUAAUUGAAGUGUUUGAUGUUGAUGAAAUUCAAGGAUAGCAUGCAGGUUCCUACGUUCAAGGACACUUCGUUCGUUCCACUGAUGGAAGAAAUGAGCUUCCCAAAGGAUCUGAAGUUAUCUUUUUUGUUGAUAUCCGUGGAAGAUUACCAUGACUGUCCAGCAUAUAUUUUCUACUACAUGGUGUUGUGUAGGCAUGCUUUCUGCAAAAGCCUGUGUGUGGCCGCGACCUGGCAACGACGGACUAUGGCUCAGUAUCGCUUUGGCGGUAGCCUCCGCAAGCGAUGGCUUCAAGAGAUGCUUUGCGGAACUCCUUUGAUGACAUGGUCGGUUGGGAUGGCAGGUAGUGUACAUCAUUUGACGAGCUGUGAGCCAUGCUGAUGAUCAGAUCAGAUCAGAUCAGGUUCAAACAGAUUAUGCAGGAGAGCGGAGGUCUGCUUAAUUUUUCUGGAAACCUUCGUUCAAACAAGUGUUGUGACAGCCAACACUUGGUUUCGAAGGAGAAUGAAACCGACCUCUCGUUGCCGCAUGCAUGUCGGCAUCGAGGCAUUCCACCGUCCUACGUACACGUGCAGAGAAGAUAGACAUCCAAGAGUCGGUGGCCAGGCUACGCAUUCCAAAGCACGACAGAGAGCCCAAAGACAAAAGCGUGGGAGUACGUGUACAACCUGCGGGGCUUUCCUUCCCGAUGUCGCUACUAUUUAGUUGAUCCAGGAGAGCGAGCGAGAGAACGAGGAGGGGAUAAGAGCCAUGGAGGAUAGCGUCGAUGCGAGCGAGAGCUUCGUCUCUCUUUCAUCCAUCCUGAAGCCAGAAGACCCAUCCAACGGAGGGCCUGCAGCAGAUAGCGAUGAGGAAGCAGAAGAGAUAAUGGCCGCCAAGAAGCGAGAUGCUGUAGACUCCAGCCUCAAGGGAGCCAAAGAGGUUGACGAUGGUGUCGGGUUCAUCGGUCGUCUUGUGUCUAACUUGACCGUCUCCGUUCCGGGCGGCCCUGUCGAGGGGACCGAGGAUAAUCACAAGAAAGAAGAAGAAGAAGAAGAAGAAGAAGAAGAAGGUGGAGGGCUCAUCAACCGUCUCUUCCCCUACUUGCCUGUUACCAUGCCAGACGAGCAAUCUCCUUCAGCGGAUGAGGCCUCGCUUCUCAUCUCUAUCAUCGAAGACUAGGGAUAAUAAAGACAAAGAGGAGAUCAACGUUAUUGUGGUUUCCAUUCUGCUUGUACAUGUUCCAUCUCUCAGGUCAACUUUUCUCUUGAGAGGUCUACUUCCAAUUCCAUCCAGCUGACAAUUUGUUGCUACAAGGCUGGUGGCUUGUCACCCAUCCCUAUGCGCCAUGCAAAUGAUGUCUAAGCUCCAUGUAAAUGCCAUUUUAAUUCCAGUUAAUCAAUGUACUUAUGCGUGCUGGAGAUUGAACCUCAUGUUAUUAGAUAAUUUAUGAUGUUUACGCAAUGACACAUGAAGACGACGACAUAUGGAUAUGGUGCCUAUGCGACUUUA
Non-coding RNA from Musa acuminata subsp. malaccensis (wild Malaysian banana), 4188 nucleotides. NCBI's taxonomy places the organism in Eukaryota, Viridiplantae, Streptophyta, Magnoliopsida, Zingiberales, Musaceae. The record is from RefSeq and is a predicted model, not a curated record.